This 825-nucleotide ribosomal RNA is filed under the name uncultured bacterium. RNAcentral describes it as "partial 16S ribosomal RNA". It matches the Rfam family "Bacterial small subunit ribosomal RNA", at positions 129 to 940 of the family's 1533-position model. RNAcentral also lists the same sequence under 1 other name. The record is from RNAcentral.
AUANCUAGUGGGGGAUAACUACCUCGAAAGANUAGCUAAUACCNNAUGAGAUCUANNGAUGAAAGCNGGGGANCUUCNGGNCUUGCNCUACUANAGCGGCUGAUGGCANAUUANGUAGUUGGUGGGAUAAAAGCUUACCAAGCCGACNAUCUGUAGCUGGUCUGAGAGGACNACCAGCCACACUGGGACUGAGACACGGCCCAGACUCCUACNGGAGGCAGCAGUGGGGAAUUUUGGACAAUGGGCGAAAGCCUGAUCCAGCANUGCCGCGUGUAGGAUGAAGGCCCUCGGGUUGUAAACUACUUUUGUACGGAACGAAAAGACUCUUUCUAAUAAAGAGGGUCCAUGACGGUACCGUAAGAAUAAGCACCGGCUAACUACGUGCCAGCAGCCGCGGUAAUACGUAGGGUGCAAGCGUUAAUCGGAAUUACUGGGCGUAAAGCGUGCGCAGGCGGUUAUGUAAGACAGAGGUGAAAUCCCCGGGCUCAACCUGGGAACGGCCUUUGUGACUGCAUAGCUAGAGUACGGUAGAGGGGGAUGGAAUUCCGCGUGUAGCAGUGAAAUGCGUAGAUAUGCGGAGGAACACCGAUGGCGAAGGCAAUCCCCUGGACCUGUACUGACGCUCAUGCACGAAAGCGUGGGGAGCAAACAGGGAUUAGAUACCCUGGUAGUCCACGCCCUAAACGAUGUCAACUGNUUUGUUGGGAAUUAACUUUUUCAGUAACGAAGCUNACGCNUGAAGUUNACCGCCCUGGGGGAGUACGGCCCCNAGGGUUGAAACCUCAANGGNAAUUGACGGGGAACCCGCACCAAGCNGGNGGGANU